UACGUAGGGUGCAAGCGUUGUCCGGAAUUAUUGGGCGUAAAGAGCUCGUAGGCGGCCUGUCACGUCGACUGUGAAAACCCGAGGCUCAACCUCGGGCCUGCAGUCGAUACGGGCAGGCUAGAGUUCGGUAGGGGAGACUGGAAUUCCUGGUGUAGCGGUGAAAUGCGCAGAUAUCAGGAGGAACACCGAUGGCGAAGGCAGGUCUCUGGGCCGAUACUGACGCUGAGGAGCGAAAGCGUGGGGAGCGAACAGG
This 253-nucleotide ribosomal RNA is filed under the name uncultured bacterium. RNAcentral describes it as "partial 16S ribosomal RNA". It matches the Rfam family "Bacterial small subunit ribosomal RNA", at positions 524 to 776 of the family's 1533-position model. The record is from RNAcentral.